GCACCAGGGCAAAUGAGGCCUGGGAAACUCAGGAAGAAGUUGCUAGAGCCAAAAGUGCCUCCAUCCAUUCCUCCUCCAUCCAUCCAUCAUCCAUCAUCCAUCAUCCAUCAUCCAUCCAUCAUCCAUCAUCCAUCCAUCCAUCCAUCAUCCAUCCAUCAUCCAUCAUCCAUCAUCCAUCAUCCAUCAUCCAUCAUCCAUCCCUCAUCCAUCCAUCAUCCAUCCAUCAUCCAUCCCUCAUCCAUCAUCAUCCAUCCAUCAUCCAUCCAUCAUCCAUCCAUCAUCCAUCCAUCAUCAUCCAUCCAUCCAUCUGUCCUUCCAGAGUGACAUUCCCAGGAGAGGAUCAGCACAGUGAGCUGGAGCAAGGAAGUGUUUUCAAGGAGGGUCCUUGCCAG
This 392-nucleotide long non-coding RNA is filed under the name Parus major (Great Tit). Its description in RNAcentral is "lncRNA (ENSPMJG00000005783.1)". The record is from RNAcentral. Lineage: Eukaryota; Metazoa; Chordata; Aves; Passeriformes; Paridae.